RNAcentral lists this long non-coding RNA (212 nucleotides) under Vitis vinifera (wine grape). Its description in RNAcentral is "long non-coding RNA (VVIN_LNC000584)". Lineage: Eukaryota; Viridiplantae; Streptophyta; Magnoliopsida; Vitales; Vitaceae. The record is from RNAcentral.
AGGUACGACCCCAAAAACUCAAACUGAACUGAUAUGACAAUGACCGAUCGAUAUAGGUGUGGUCCCAAAAACUCAAAGUGACAUGACAAUGAAUGACAAGAUGAAUGACCGAUCGAUAUAGGUGCGGUCCCGAAACUUAAGUUAAACUAACAAGAUAGCAAGAAUGACCGAUCGAUAUAGGUGCAAUCCCAACUCGAACUAAACACAAACUG